AUGGUGCGACACUGCGACUGCUCCGUACAAAUGUGCAACUCAAGCAGAAAUGUUGGGUGUGCGUUAGUUCAGAGGAAAUUAUUUGGCCAUGACCCUAAAAACAGGAACCUAUUUGCCCAUCAAUUUGACCUUGCAAUGUUUUUCAAAUUUAUCCAUGAAUUUGAAUUGGAUUGGAUUAGAUUGCAUGACAUAGUAGUUAAAUGGAUGUUUGGUUUGUCUACACAAAGACCGGUAUGUUUGAUUCAAGUCAGUGGUGUGUGGUUUCGCAGAUUCACACAGCAAUCAUUUUGUACAACUACUCUGGCCAUGAGUAAUGUUAAUGUAACAUAUAAUGGAUCUUUCCAUUUUAUGGCUUCUCCUUACGUUUUCAACCCCAGUCUCUCGAUCCUUGGCGCUUAA
This 399-nucleotide ribosomal RNA is filed under the name Triticum aestivum (bread wheat). RNAcentral describes it as "partial small subunit ribosomal RNA". The record is from RNAcentral. Lineage: Eukaryota; Viridiplantae; Streptophyta; Magnoliopsida; Poales; Poaceae.